GAACGCACCUUGCACCCUUUGGUAUUCCGGAGAGUAUGCCUGUUUGAGGGUCUGUUAAAUAAAAAUCGGGGUUGUUGCUGCUUUUUGUGGUGACGCUUCGGAAUUGGGUAGUCUUACCUUCGGGUUUAAGUGACCUAAAAUUUUUACAUGAUUUUUCGAACGUAUUUAAAUCUUUUACGUACGUUUGGUUAUAUCGAAUAUAUUAGGUGUGGUCAUCCUCAUGAUUCACGUCUAUAAUUUUUUUCAUUUUUAGACCUCAAAUCAGGUAAGAACACCCGCUGAACUUAAG
RNAcentral lists this unclassified non-coding RNA (289 nucleotides) under uncultured Glomeraceae. RNAcentral's name for it is "sequence contains 5.8S rRNA gene". Lineage: Eukaryota; Fungi; Glomeromycota; Glomeromycetes; Glomerales; Glomeraceae. The record is from RNAcentral.